Molecule: long non-coding RNA, 4422 nt
Organism: Homo sapiens (human)
Lineage: Eukaryota; Metazoa; Chordata; Mammalia; Primates; Hominidae
Exons: 3
Source: RefSeq, a predicted model, not a curated record
AGCUGCAGCGGCUGCCAUGGCAGGGCUGGUCCCACCGGAGGAGGCACCCUGGCACCCCUGACUCCCAGGAUGAGUCCCAGGGAACACCAGGGUGGAGUCAGGGGCAGGGAGACUCUUGGGGACUCUGAGGGAGCCACAGCCCAGGGAGACCUCCCAAGAAGACCUCCCAAGAAUCAAGCCCAGCCUGUGGACCUGGGGUGCUGAUGGAAUAGACUGAUGCAGUAGAGUCUUGCGGUGGGGCAUGGAGGGGAGUGUGGAUGACACCCAAACCUACUCUGUGAUGAUGGCAGAAGGCAUGAAGGCCCCUCCCCACUCAUGACGCCCCAGCAGGCGGCUUCGAAGGCCUCACGCUGCUCAGACAGGGGCGUGGGGGGUACACCUCCAGCAGCUGGGCUCAUGACCAUGCCUUCAGUGCAGAGUCUGAGAUUGGAAAUCACUGUUAGAAGAGUACAAAGAAGAAAACCACAAAGACUUGGCUGAUGGGGUCGUAAGGCCACAGGAAAUGGAACAGAACUACAGCCUGCCAGAGCAGGAAGGAACCUUCUAGAUGAGCUGGGUCAGUGUUUUCAGACCACGGAGUGUGGCUCAUCAACGGGCUGUACAAUCAGUUUGGGGGCCAUGGUCAGCAUUUUUAAACAAUAUACAAUGGAACACAAAACAUCAGAGUAAACAUAUGCCAUACAGUACAUACAGUAUUGUUUCAUGAAGCUUUAGUUUUAGUGUGUGUGCGUGUGUGCAUGUGUGUGUGUGUGUGAAAACUUUUUUUCUUUUUUACCAUGGGUUGUGGUCAAAGGAGCUAAAAACAAUUUUUAAGUUGGUUUGUAUUAGUCCAUUUUGCAUAGCUAUAAAGGACUACCUGAGACUGAGUAAUGUGUACAGAAAAGAGGUUCUGUAUACAAUUCCGCAGGCUGUACAAGCACAGCACUAGCAUCUGCUUGGCUCUGGUGAAGCCUCAGGAAGCUUUUAUUCAUGGUAGAAAGUGAAGCAGGAUCAGGCAUAUAUCACACAGUGACAGAGGGAGCAAGAGCGAUACCUGGCUGUUUUAAUUAACCAGUUCUAGCGUGAAAUAACAGAGCAAGAACUCACUCAUUACCAUGGGGAGGGCACCAAGCCAUUCAUGAGGGAUCCACCCCCAUGAUCCAAACACCUCCCACCAGGCCCGGUCCAACACUGGGAGUCACAUUUCAACAUGAGAUCUGGAGGGGACAAAUAUUCAAACCAUAUCAUGGCUCAACCCCUACAUUUUACAGAUGGGAAAACUGAGACCAAGGGCAGGAAGAGGCUUUUCCCAGGAGCCAGAGGCAGGACAAAGAUCCAGAGUGUUCUAUGCCAGGACACAGGCCAGGUUUCUUACUGUCUUUCUGGACACUAACCACCUUGCCAGGCCUUACCCCAGGCUAGAGGGGAAGAAUCCAGGGCUUCACAGGGGCUGGGGGCCAGGUGGGAAUCCGGCCCUGCCUCUGACUGCUGGGACAGACACUCUCGGGAGUGCCUUCCUCUCAGGGCUGCUCCUUCUCUGUUGCUUUCUCUGCGUUUCCUCUUCCCACCAACAGUCAGAAUGGCUCAGAUUGAGGUCCCUCUCUGCCCUCCCUUCCACCCUCCUCCUCAGUCUCUCUUGGUCAGGCUGGGUCCUCCCUUUCCCCAAGUCCUUGCUCUCAACACGUCUACACAGACGUUGCUCCAUGGCUGUAAGACCUGCCCAAAGCCCACACAAGAGGCCAGGUACGGUGGUUCACACCUGUAAUCCCAGCACUCUGGGAGGCCUGAGGAGGGAGGAUCACUUGAGGCCAGGAGUUUGAAACCAGCCUGAGCCAUGUAGCAAGACCUCAUCUCUACAAAAAAUUUAAAAAUUAGCGGUCGGGCAUGGUGGCUCAUGCCUGUAAUCCUAGCAUUUUGGGAAGCCAAGGUGGGUGGAUCACCUGAGGUCAGGAGUUCUAGACCAGCCUGGCCAACAUGGCGAAACCCCAUCUCUACUAAAAAUACAAAAAUGAGCCGGGCGUGGUGGCAGGUGCCUGUAAUCCCAGCUACUCAAGACGCUGAGGGAGGAGAAUUGCUUGAACCCAGGGGCAGAGUUUACAGUGGGCCAAGAUCGUGCCACUUCACUCCAGUCUGGGCAAAAGAGUGAAACUCCAUCUCAAAAUAAAGUAAAAUAAAUAAAUAAAUAAAUGUUAAAAAUUAGCUGCGCAUGAUGGCAUGUGCCUAUAGUCCCAGCUACUUAGGAGGCUGAGGUAGGAGGAUCAUUUGAGCUUAGGAGAUUAAGGCUGCAGUGAGCCAUGACUGUGCCAAUGACUCCAGCCUGGGUAACAAAGGAAGACCCUGUCUCAAAACAAAAGCAAAAAACAACAACAAAAAUCAAGGCCACACAAGCUCUUUCCUUCGCAUUCACACACUAUUUCAUAAGAAUAGCUGCCGGUACUGAGACGGAUACAUUUUGUCUCUCUCAAUUGAACAACUCUGUUUUAUAGAAGAUGGGGAAACUCAGGCUAAGAAUUUGCCAAAGGCCAUGUAGCAGUCAGUGGAGGAGCUGGAACUAGAACCAGGUCUACUGGACUAAAAUUGCCACCACAGCACCAUCCUGCCUGGCUGGUUGCUGGCAGUCUUUCCUCUGAAGCAUCUUGGAUUGGGCUGGGAUGAGCAACAGCCAGCAUGGGGGCAGUGGCUGCCUCUCCUACCUUGUGUUGCAAUGAGGAGAGGAACGCUCCAUUCCCAAGAGGGAAGAAUAUCGGAAAGGCAGCUUCCAUCCUUUUCCCAGCCUCCCUAACUCUCUUUCCCGAGAGCGGAGGAAUGACUUAUAAGCAGCUUGGGAGAAGGAGCUGAGCUGGGGGCAUAGGGAAUCUGGCCCUUUCCUGGCCACUCUGAGCUGCUUGUCUACAGAGAGUGCCCGCUGCCCAGCUCCUGCGUCCUCCAUGGGGAAGGGCCAGCAUCCACCUUUGAGAAGCACACCUGGAGGCCCACCUCCUCCGCUCCCCACUCGCAGGCUCACCAAGGGAGGCAGCGAUCCUCCUGGCGGCUGGCAGAGACCGGGCCUGCAGCACAGACUGUUUCCUCGGAUGGGGUACCCUGAGGCCUUGAUAGGGUGAAGGCAUAUCAAGAAGUCUGACUGUGGUCAUGGAGCACUCAUGGGAAGAAGGGGUGUUACCAGCACUAGAAAAUCCGACAUCUUUUCUUUUCACCAUUCCUAGAGGUGUCCCCCAGGCCACAUGUGCAGCCUCAAACUUGGACUCCUGCAGUCUCUCUCCCAGGUCUUCUCACCUCUGCCCAAGCCAGCUCCUACGCCUGAUGUGGGCCCAUCUUCCUCCCCCACCGUCUCCCCUCCAGCUCAACAUAAGCUACCAAGGGGUCCCUCCCUGCUCAUCAGCCUUUCAGCUGUCACUUAACAGGGUGCUCCUGCCCAUUCUCCAAGUGCCUCCUCCAACAGGCAGACUUCCCUGGCCACCACCUCAUAUUCUGCCAGCUCUAAGACUCAUCAUCAGGACCCCUUGUUCCACUUUCACCUUAUUAUUGAUGUUUUCCAAGUGUGUGUCUUGUUUUCUCAACAAAUUACACACAGUAUAAUACCACCACCCAUACUGGCUGAGAUGUCCUGAGUUCUUGCUUACUCUGUGCCAGGCACAGGACAGCUUCUUCUCUGAGGAGGGAAAUGGUAUAAAAGACUAAGCAUAGGGCCCAGCACACAGUCAGUGCUCAAGCAGGGCAGGAGUUUCUCAGAUCUGCUCAAACACCACUGGCAGGUGGAUAAAUUGGUGUACUCUUUCUGGAAAGCCAUUUCCAUUAUGUAUUCAAAGCCUUAAAAUAUGCAUAGCCUUCCGGAUCUGGGCCAGCGACCCCACUUUUAGGAAUUUAUUCUAAGAAACAAUCAGAGAUGUACUCAAAGGUUUAGCUACAGGACUGCACCCAGCCACACCAGUGGAAGAGCUGUGCCUCCGUUUAACUGUAAAAUGGAGAUAAAAAUAGUGCCUAGUCUAUGGGCUGCUGUGAGGAUUCAUAAAUCAGGCACUGAUUAUAUGUAAAGCAAUGAAUGCAGUGCCUAGUACAUAUUGCAGCUUUUCAAAAGUGUUACCUGCUCUUUUUAUUAUUUGAAUUGAAGUCUGAAUGAAGUCAAAGCCCGAAUGGGCUCCCUACCUCCCUCCCUCCAUUCUCGUGAUUUCCAAAACCAACAAAAGGGUUACUAAUAUCAAAAACAGCAUCAACACCAACCACCAUCUAAAUCCAACACAAAGGAACUGGUUAAAUAACAAUACAACUGUAUAUAACACUAUGCAGCCACUCAAGAUGAUGUCAUAGAACAAGAAUUAAUGGCAGGCACCAAUGUACCUAAGUAGAAAAAGGCCCCAAAACUAUUAGUUCAGUAAGAUGGUAAUUUUUUCUUUUAAAAAGCACAUAAAUGUGUAGAAAAAAUAUAUAUACUGCAAAUUGUGAAAA